AAAAAUCCACUUCGAAAACGAAGUAUCAAGAGAACUCUAAUUGGCUUACAUUGCGGAAAAGCCCAGAGACAUAGCUGUGGCUUUGGGAAUAGCGGAAACGAAGAUUUCGGGAGAAAACACACGACGGGCACAGACAGAGAUCAGUCCAAACCGAGGGCACCUGCCUUGCCAGAGAGGUUGGAAUAGAUUCUGGGGACAAGGAUGGCAUCUGUCUUCUGGACUCUUCUACCCGCGGUGCUCAAGACCAGGUUUGGCCCAUGGCAUACGGCCUUCUUCCCUUCCCCGCCAGCAUCUUCGGAGGGUGUCCGCACAUAUUCCGUGUUCCCGUCUCCACCUCAUGCUCAGUUCUUACCCAUCCCUCUCCGGCUGCACCUCUGUCGCUCCACUGACACACGGGUGACACGCUCCUUGUCCGCAUCCUCAUCUCACAUGCCCCGUCAGGCACAACGGACGCAGGUGACUCAUCCCCUUGGGAACCCCUCUGGGCCCAAUCCCGCCCCUGGUUGCUCCAUCUCAGCCUCUCCCAGGCUGCCGGCAUUUCAUAAGGCCUGGUCCCAGGGCCCCCGUGUUGUCCGCUCUGUCCUCUCUCACUGGGCAGGUCCCUCGCAUUAGGUUAUUUAGGCUCUCCUGUUACUAGGUGUAUGUCUGUUGUCCUAGGAGUGUCAAUGUCCCUACUCCUCCCCUGCUGAGAACGUGGUAGGACUUUCCCUUCUCCUAGCGACGUGGUCACGGACACGAGCACAAGUCAAAUACGCCUUUUCGGGGCAAAAGCUUUAAGAAUCGGUAUGCAAUUGACUAUGUGUCCUUUCCCUGCCGUUAUCCUAGUGAAAGCAUGUGUUAGGAUGGGUGUUUCAUCAGCCUGAUCCUUGAGUGUCUGUGAUAAGCAAAGCCUUCUUGAUGACCUAUUUUUGGAUAAAAA
Molecule: long non-coding RNA, 919 nt
Organism: Suricata suricatta (meerkat)
Lineage: Eukaryota; Metazoa; Chordata; Mammalia; Carnivora; Herpestidae
Exons: 3
Source: RefSeq, a predicted model, not a curated record